This 253-nucleotide ribosomal RNA is filed under the name uncultured bacterium. RNAcentral describes it as "partial 16S ribosomal RNA". It matches the Rfam family "Bacterial small subunit ribosomal RNA", at positions 524 to 776 of the family's 1533-position model. The record is from RNAcentral.
UACGUAGGGAGCAAGCGUUGUCCGGAAUCAUUGGGCGUAAAGCGCGCGUAGGCGGCCUCAUAAGUCCGUUGUGAAAGUCGAAGGCUCAACCUUUGAAAGCCGAUGGAUACUGUGAGGCUAGAGUCCGGAAGAGGCGAGUGGAAUUCCUGGUGUAGCGGUGGAAUGCGCAGAUAUCAGGAGGAACACCAAUAGCGAAGGCAGGUCUCUGGGCCGCAACUGACGCUGAGGAGCGAAAGCAUGGGGAGCGAACAGG